GAGGGUCUCGCGGCCUAUCAGCUAGUUGGCGGGGUAACGGCCCACCAAGGCGACGACGGGUAGCUGGUCUGAGAGGAUGGCCAGCCACAUUGGGACUGAGACACGGCCCAGACUCCUACGGGAGGCAGCAGUGGGGAAUCUUGCGCAAUGGCCGCAAGGCUGACGCAGCGACGCCGCGUGUGGGAUGAAGGCCUUCGGGUUGUAAACCACUGUCAGGGGGAACGAAUACACGCUUCGUGCGUGGGUGACGGUACCUCCAAAGGAAGCACCGGCUAACUCCGUGCCAGCAGCCGCGGUAAUACGGAGGGUGCGAGCGUUGUCCGGAAUCACUGGGCGUAAAGGGCGCGUAGGCGGCCCGUUAAGUGGCUGGUGAAAUCCCGCGGCUCAACUGCGGGGCUGCCGGUCAGACUGGCGAGCUAGAGCACGGUAGGGGCAGAUGGAAUUCCCGGUGUAGCGGUGGAAUGCGUAGAGAUCGGGAAG
Molecule: ribosomal RNA, 480 nt
Filed under: uncultured Gemmatimonadota bacterium
Lineage: Bacteria; Pseudomonadati; Gemmatimonadota
Description: bacterial SSU rRNA
Rfam family: Bacterial small subunit ribosomal RNA
Source: RNAcentral